Molecule: ribosomal RNA, 406 nt
Filed under: uncultured bacterium
Lineage: Bacteria
Description: bacterial SSU rRNA
Rfam family: Bacterial small subunit ribosomal RNA
Source: RNAcentral
AUUGAACGCUGGCGGCGUGCCUAACACAUGCAAGUCGAGCGGUAACAGGUGUAGCAAUACAUGCUGACGAGCGGCGAACGGGUGAGUAAUGCUUCGGAAUCUGCCCAUGUAGUGGGGAAUAACCAGCCGAAAGGUUGGCUAAUACCGCAUACGACCCUUGCCCACAAGGCAAAGGUGAAAGCAGGGGAUCGCAAGACCUUGCGCUAUUGGAUGAGCCGAAGUCGGAUUAGCUAGUUGGUAGGGUAACGGCCUACCAAGGCGACGAUCCGUAGCUGGUCUGAGAGGACGACCAGCCACACUGGGACUGAGACACGGCCCAGACUCCUACGGGAGGCAGCAGUGGGGAAUAUUGCGCAAAUGGGCGAAAGCCUGACGCAGCGACGCCGCGUGGGUGAUGAAGGCCUUC